GAAACACACAGCGCCUCAAACACUAAAUGAUAUUCAUUUACUUAGACAAAAUAAAUAUGAAAAAGAAAAUACUUAGACAAAAAAAAUAUGAAAAAGAAAAUCUGAAUAAAUUAGCUAAGCCAGUGGAGAAAUGGUGAUGAAAUGGACAGUUUGAAAAAAAUUAAAAUAGCAUUUUAGACUAAGGUGUUCUAUUUUCUUUCACCCUUUUUUUUUAACACUGAAAAUUGAUGCUGCAUUAGUAAAGUCUUCAGGGAAAAUUGAUGCUGCAAUAGAGAAGCAUCAUUCAGCCUUAAUUAUAUUGGCAAAAUACAAGUUUAUACAUCUUCAUUAGCUCUGAAAAAAAAAAAAAAAAUCCUGCAAA
Molecule: unclassified non-coding RNA, 361 nt
Filed under: Hevea brasiliensis (rubber tree)
Lineage: Eukaryota; Viridiplantae; Streptophyta; Magnoliopsida; Malpighiales; Euphorbiaceae
Source: RNAcentral